UACGUAGGGGGCAAGCGUUGUCCGGAAUCAUUGGGCGUAAAGCGCGUGUAGGCGGCCCGGUAAGUCCGCUGUGAAAGUCCAGGGCUCAACCCUGGAAUGCCGGUGGAUACUGUCGGGCUCGAGUCCGGAAGAGGCGAGUGGAAUUCCUGGUGUAGCGGUGAAAUGCGCAGAUAUCAGGAGGAACACCUAUAGCGAAGGCAGCUUGCUGGGACGUUACUGACGCUAAGGCGCGAAAGCGUGGGGAGCGAACAGG
This 253-nucleotide ribosomal RNA is filed under the name uncultured bacterium. Its description in RNAcentral is "partial 16S ribosomal RNA". It matches the Rfam family "Bacterial small subunit ribosomal RNA", at positions 524 to 776 of the family's 1533-position model. The record is from RNAcentral.